GAUGGACCCGCGGCCCAUUAGCUUGUUGGUAGGGUAACGGCCUACCAAGGCAACGAUGGGUAGCCGGCCUGAGAGGGUGAUCUGCCACACUGGGACUGAGACACGGCCCAGACUCCUACGGGAGGCAGCAGUGGGGAAUCUUGCACAAUGGGCGAAAGCCUGAUGCAGCAACGCCGCGUGGGGGAAGAAGGCCUUAGGGUUGUAAACCUCUGUCGGGAGGGACGAAGCCACCUGCGUUAAUAGCGUAAGGGGUGACGGUACCUCCAAAGGAAGCCCCGGCUAACUACGUGCCAGCAGC
RNAcentral lists this ribosomal RNA (298 nucleotides) under uncultured bacterium. RNAcentral describes it as "partial 16S rRNA". It matches the Rfam family "Bacterial small subunit ribosomal RNA", at positions 224 to 515 of the family's 1533-position model. The record is from RNAcentral.